RNAcentral lists this ribosomal RNA (297 nucleotides) under uncultured bacterium. RNAcentral's name for it is "partial 16S ribosomal RNA". It matches the Rfam family "Bacterial small subunit ribosomal RNA", at positions 500 to 795 of the family's 1533-position model. The record is from RNAcentral.
AAGAGGUGACAGCGGCAGCGGUGAAACGGGGUGUGGAAUCGUGUUCCGGAGUGUAGGGGCGUAAAGGGCUGGUCGGCGGGUUAGCAAGUCGGGGGGGAAAACAUCAGGCUUAACAUGGAGCGGCCACUCGAUACUGGUAGGGCUAGAGUCCGGGAGGGGACCACGGAAUGCCUGGUGUAGCGGUGAAAUGCGCAGAUAUCAGGAGGAACACCGAUGGCGAAGGCAGUGGUCUGGGCCGGCACUGACGCUGAAUAGCGAAAGCGUGGGGAGCGAACAGGAUUAGAUACCCUGGUAGUC